CAGGGUGGGGUAUUAUUGUUUUUCUAGGCAAUCAUUUUACCAAGUGAUUUCACCCCAGCCUGAGAAGGGCAUAUUUUAAAUGGCUAUCACGAAGUAGGCGUUCACAAGCAUAUUCACGUUCUUCUCCUCUUCUGGCUGUCUCCUGUGCUCUGCUUUUCAGGACAAGAACACACACCCUUUGGUGAGCCUCUCUUCUCCACUGGAAGCUGAAAACUCAGCAGCAGGUGCAAAAGGCCUAAGUGAAAACUCGUCAGAGCCUCGUCCAGCCUCCAGUCUGCAGAAAGCUCCGCCCUAAAAGUUUUCCAUUCUGCAGCUGUGCAGUGGGAGUGGAGACCUCUGCCCUCGGAGGGCAGGUAUUCUGAGGAGUCAGACAUGGUUUAAGCCUCAGCUGCUCUGUGGGACAUAAUGGGAUGUGGCUCAGAGCUGUCUGACGCCAUGCAGAGUUGGGUAAAUCUGGCCUGUUCUCAUCCCUCCAAGAGACCUUUCACCUUGGGGGCUCAGCGACUAGAACAACAUUUCAGGAGUCGACAGUUUCACGUUCCCCAGUGAGCCAUGGAGCAGACUGCUGCUGGCUGGAUAUCAGGCCAAACCCAUGAGCUGUGAGAGGGAUGUCCAUCUGAUCCCGGGGAACCGAGAACCGAUUCACAUGCUUGAAGACACAGCUUCCUGCCAGGAAGAAGGUCUGGGCUUUGUUUCUUAUGUGUCCCAACCAAUGCGUAGAUUGGCCUCUCCAAGGUCUCACAGGUGGACAGUGGAGGUGGUCAGGACAAGGACAAGCCUGAUUGUCAUCGUUCUUGUCAAUGUAGUUUGGAGAAGCUAACCAAGCAAGACCCGACAGCAUCUCUUGGAGAACCGCCUAUGCGCUCGUACGUUGAUAAUGAACGAAUGGUCUUUGGACUAAAGGAGCUCAUGCUUUCGCAACUGAGACAGAUGGUGUCUGCUUCAAGGUACCCCCAUCCCUCUGAUCUCAAGGAUCCUUCAAUAACUGAGAAAUCAUGCCAGCUCCUCCCGGGCAGUGCCCUGGAUUCCCGGCUCAUUGUCAUUCGUUUCUCUCUCAACUGUUAGCUUCUGGGUUCAAUUUCUGAACGGCUUUUCCAUGAUGAAAGAGCACGAAGAUCCCUCCCCUUUGCGCAUGACUACCAGAUAGUAGACGGCACUUGUCCUGUGAGAGGCGUCUGCAUUCAACAUUGUUUUUCUGAGUGAGGCACAUGCUGUCACCAUUUUGCCGAGUACACUCUCUCUUCAUGGGUUUUUGUGACAUUCCCUUCUCUGAAAUUGCCACCUACCUUUUGGCAGCCUCCUUAAUAAAGCUCUGUCGUGAUACUUGUCACACUCGGGGUUUUAACCAUCUGUCUAUUUUGGUCCCUCCCACCAGAAAAAAACUCGGUGGCCUACUCAUUUUUCUUCCCUAGUUCCUACACAUGGUGACAUCAAUUAAUGCUGGAAGAAUGAAUGGAUUAGUAAAGGAAUGGACAGAAGUCUUUAUAACAGGCAUCUAUAAACAGAACAUUACUCUACAGGUCAGAAAGCCACAUAGGGGGCUGGAGAGAUGGCUCAACAGUUAAGAGCACUGCCGGCUCUUCCAGAAGACCCUAGUUCAAUUCCCAGCACCCACGCAGCAGCUCAUACCUGUUUCUAACUCCAGUUCCAAGGCUUCUGACAGCCUCACACAGACGUACACACAGGCAAAACACCAAUGAUCAUAAAAUUAAAAAAAAAAAAAAGAGUGCUACACAGAAGUGGGUGGGGGUGCACGUGCCUUCAGGAGCCAGAGUCAGGCGAAUCUCUGAGUUCAAGGCCAGCCAAAGCCAGUUCCAGGACAGCCAGGGUUACACAGAGAACCUCUCUUGGGGAAAAGAAAAGAAUGUCACACAGAAGAGGCCAUUGGAGAACCAACAGUUGAGACUUACUUACAGCCCUGUCCUGUAUGAAAGGCCUGUGUUUGCACAACCUGGUAGCAGUUUCCUCCAAGAUCGAAACACUCCAUCUUCCAGGGAAGCUCCUUAAUUCAGCGCCAUAAACUGACCAGAUUCAGUAGGUCCCUCCCUCUAAGGAUGAGUAGGCAAUAAAGAUUGCUGAGAUGAGCCGAGCUU
Molecule: long non-coding RNA, 2093 nt
Organism: Myodes glareolus (Bank vole)
Lineage: Eukaryota; Metazoa; Chordata; Mammalia; Rodentia; Cricetidae
Source: RefSeq, a predicted model, not a curated record